CUUCCUGAUUGCGCAGAGGGCUGUUGUCUGGGACGGUGAUCUGAUGGUGAUAUUCCUUUGCUAUAUUUCUGGAACACCUGCAUUCUAAAUCCAGACAGUUCAAGCCUAUGAUUCCAGCUCUGGAAUAAUCUGACAUGUGCUUCUGACCUCUGCAGAGUUGUAGCAAUAUGGGACUCACCACUCCAGAGAAUCACCGCCCUUUGUGUGGGAGCCAGGCAUGAAGCAGUGUGCUGACAAUAAACAGACAGAGUGGAACCGCCCCGAAGCAUAAACGGCAUUUCUUCCCUCUCAACGUUUUCAGUUUCUUGCUGUAGCUGAAACUCAGCUUGUCAGCCCUGAGAUGAGUGCUACAGAGCCUGCAGAGGCUUUUCUGAGCAUGUUCAGUACCAAAGACAGACUGCAGGAAGGCAAGAACGGUAAAAAGCUCCAAGGAGAAUGUCUCAGAAUUGUCUCCCCCGCGUCUCCUGCUGCGCUUUACUGCUGCUAUGCAGUGAUCAUGGUCCUCAGUGUAGCUGUGAUUGCACUUUCUGUGGCUCUGUCAUUGUCAGGAGAAAAGCCAGACCAAAAAAAAUAUGCUACUUGCCCAAGAAACUGGAUUGGAUUUGGGAAUAAAUGUUUUUAUUUUUCUGAAGACUCAAGCAACUGGACAUUCAGUAAGAACUUCUGCAUGGAACUAAACGCCCAGCUAGCUCGAUUUGACAACAUGGAGGAACUGAAUUUCAUAAACAGAUACAAAGGGACCUUUGACUACUGGAUCGGCCUGCACAGAGAAUCACCACAGCACCAUUGGAAAUGGAUGGACAACACGAAAUAUAACAACUCGGUUCCCCUCCGAGGAGUGGAAGACUAUGCCUACCUGAACAACAAUAGGAUCAGCACUGCCAGGAUCUAUGCAGACAGGAGAUGGAUCUGUAGCAAGCCCAACAACUAUAUCCUGCAAUGCCAAAUUCCUUUUGCCUCUUUCUAGUCUUUGUCAAGAGAUGCUUUGCAACCUAAUAUCUACAGUUGCCGCUCUAUCCCCUGUUUGCCAACAUUGUUAUAAAAAAGAAUUGACUGCCAACUGGGUCACAGGAGCAUCCAGGCAUCAUGUAUCCUCCCUGAUGACAAUAGGUCCGAGAGCACUUCUGGGACAGCAAGUAUUUGGCAAGAGGUGGUAUGUGUCCUAUAUGAUCAAACAUUCAGCCAAUAUUUAAAUCUUCACCUAAACAAAGCCAAGCAUGUCCAUCUAAAAAAAAAAACUGAGAAUAUUUCUUUACAUCCAAAUGAGGAACAUAUUGGAGAACUGCACAACCAGGGGUUUAGAAGAACAUAGAUUA
This is an RNA transcript of Arvicola amphibius (Eurasian water vole), 1316 nucleotides long. It is a transcript of the gene named C-type lectin domain family 2 member D11-like, with no coding region annotated. The record is from RefSeq and is a predicted model, not a curated record. NCBI's taxonomy places the organism in Eukaryota, Metazoa, Chordata, Mammalia, Rodentia, Cricetidae. The transcript is spliced from 8 exons.